This 76-nucleotide transfer RNA is filed under the name Xanthomonas arboricola. RNAcentral describes it as "tRNA-Glu". It matches the Rfam family "tRNA". From Rfam's summary of the family: Transfer RNA (tRNA) molecules are approximately 80 nucleotides in length. Their secondary structure includes four short double-helical elements and three loops (D, anti-codon, and T loops). Further hydrogen bonds mediate the characteristic L-shaped molecular structure. tRNAs have two regions of fundamental functional importance: the anti-codon, which is responsible for specific mRNA codon recognition, and the 3' end, to which the tRNAs corresponding amino acid is attached (by aminoacyl-tRNA synthetases). tRNAs cope with the degeneracy of the genetic code in two manners: having more than one tRNA (with a specific anti-codon) for a particular amino acid; and 'wobble' base-pairing, i.e. permitting non-standard base-pairing at the 3rd anti-codon position. Lineage: Bacteria; Pseudomonadati; Pseudomonadota; Gammaproteobacteria; Lysobacterales; Lysobacteraceae. The record is from RNAcentral.
GCUCCCUUCGUCUAAUGGUUAGGACGUGGCCCUCUCAAGGCUAAAAGCAGGGGUUCGAGUCCCCUAGGGAGCACCA